Tachysurus fulvidraco (yellow catfish) is the source of this 495-nucleotide long non-coding RNA. RefSeq lists it as uncharacterized. The record is from RefSeq and is a predicted model, not a curated record. Lineage: Eukaryota; Metazoa; Chordata; Actinopteri; Siluriformes; Bagridae. The transcript is spliced from 3 exons.
UAAUAAAUUUGCUGUCAUCAUUUAAUAAACAAGGAGCUUCAUCCAAUCAGAUUACACACACUCCCAUAAUACAUGAUAAUAUAUACUCCCUUACUCACAGCACAAUAACAUCCUAAUGCAUUUAGUCAGAAAUGUGACGUGUGUUAAACGUGUUUAAAACUCGAUGCUCUUCGAUGCAAAACCCAGCUACAUACCUUCUUCCGAUGCUUGUCAUAGUGCUCCUGGUCCCAUUUCUUCUGCAGAUGGCGUAUUUGUUCCUUUCUUCACCGGGCGCUCGGCGGCCAUGUUUUGCAGUGCAGAUAAGCAUUUCUUAAGAGACGCUCACUCAAUUGGAAAAUGUGGCUAUGACAGCUUUAACAUCUGCUCCUGUCACACAAUACACACCGCACACACAAUACACACCGCACACACAACACACACCGCACACACAACACACACCGCACACACAACACACACAGCACACACAGCCCCUCCCCAACAUUCCCCUUCUCUCCU